ACUAACUCUAGCCCUAACACCCAUUUACCUAACUAUAUAACAUUAUAAAUCAAAACAUUUACCCACAUAAAAGUAUUGGAGAAAGAAAUCUUAUUAAGGAGCUAUAGAGUAAGUACCGCAAGGGAAAGAUGAAAGAUCAACUUAUAGUACAAAUAAGCAGAGACUAAACCUUGUACCUUUUGCAUAAUGAGUUAACUAGAAAUCUUUUGACUAAAAGAAUUUAAGCCAAAGACCCCGAAACCAAACGAGCUACCUAAAAACAAUUUUAUGAGUAAACCCGUCUAUGUAGCAAAAUAGUGGGAAGAUUUUUAGGUAGAGGUGAAAAGCCUAACGAGCUUGGUGAUAGCUGGUAACCCAAAAAAUGAAUUUUAGUUCAACUUUAAAUUUACUAAAAGAAUAAAAAAUCUGAAUGUAAAUUUAAACUAUAGCCAAAAGAGGGACAGCUCUUUAGGAACGGAAAAAACCUUUAAUAGUGAAUAAACAAAUAUAAAUUAACCAUUGUUGGCUUAAAAGCAGCCACCAACAAAGAUAGCGUUCAAGCUCAACAUAAUAAAAACCCUAAUCCCUAAAUUACAAUAAUUUCCUAAACUACAAACUGGGUGAUUCUAUAAACCUAUAGAAGAAAUACUGUUAAUAUGAGUAACAAGAAUUUAUUCUCCAAGCACAAGUGUAUAACAACCCGGAUAACCAUUGUUAGUUAUCAGACUACAGACAACACUUCUCAAAUAAAUAUGUCUAUAAAUAAUCUGUUAAUCCAACACAGGCGUGCAACAAGGAAAGAUUAACCAAAAUAAAAGGAACUAGGCAAACUAAAACCCCGCCUGUUUACCAAAAACAUCACCUCUAGCAUAGCAAGUAUUAGAGGCAUUGCCUGCCCAGUGACUAUAGUUAAACGGCCGCGGUAUCCUGACCGUGCAAAGGUAGCAUAAUCAUUUGUUCCUUAAUUAGGGACUAGUAUGAAUGGCUAAACGAGGGUUUAACUGUCUCUUAUUUUUGAUCAGUGAAAUUGACCUUCCAGUGAAGAGGCUGGAAUUCCAUAAUAAGACGAGAAGACCCUAUGGAGCUUAAAUUAACAAGCUUAAUUAUUACUUCUAACCCUAAUGGACUAAAACAAAAACUGUAAGCUUAAAAUUUUGGUUGGGGUGACCUCGGAGAACAAAAAAUCCUCCGAACGAUCAUAACAUAGACCUACAAGUCAAAGUAACUAAAAUAUCCAAUUGACCCAAAAAUAACUUGAUCAACGGACCAAGUUACCCUAGGGAUAACAGCGCAAUCCUAUUUAAGAGUCCAUAUCGACAAUAGGGUUUACGACCUCGAUGUUGGAUCAGGACAUCCCAAUGGUGCAGAAGCUAUUAAUGGUUCGUUUGUUCAACGAUUAAAGUCCUACGUGAUCUGAGUUCAGACCGGAGAAAUCCAGGUCGGUUUCUAUCUAUUAACAAUUUCUCCCAGUACGAAAGGAUAAGAGAAAUAGAGCCACCUUAACAAAAGCGCUCUAAACUUAAUUUAUGAAAAAAAUCUAAAUAAAAAAUUUAUGUAGACCCCAAACCUAGACAAGGUC
Molecule: ribosomal RNA, 1558 nt
Filed under: Hylomyscus baeri (Baer's wood mouse)
Lineage: Eukaryota; Metazoa; Chordata; Mammalia; Rodentia; Muridae
Description: 16S ribosomal RNA
Rfam family: Bacterial large subunit ribosomal RNA
Source: RNAcentral